UUAGAUUAAGUAAUACAUUUAUACUUACUAAUACAAUAAAUUACAAAUUUAUAAAUCUAAUUUUGUUUUGUUUUUUCCUCUUCUUCCCCAUUUUCAUCAUCUUCCAUUACCAUGAAAACUCACCAAGAAUUUUAAAAUCCAAAAAUACCCAAAUCAUUCAUCCUCUUCCCUUGUAAUCAUUCAUGAAGCUUGAAAAUCUCAAACUAAAAUCCCCAAUUCGUUUUAACAUCUCCAAAAUUUUGCCCAAUCUCAAACCCACUUUUCUCUCUCUAAGAGGAAGAACCAAAACCCAAAACCCCAAACCUAAACCCAGAAUUUUAGAAAUCUCAUGUGCAAAGGAAGAAUCUAUCAUGAGCAGAGGAAGAACCAAAAAUGGGGGAAAAAACACAACUCGCAUCUUGUGAGGAUCUAGAUCUGGGAAAAAGAGAGUAAGUAGCUUCAACCACAACGUUGUCGAUCUCGCAAAAUUGUGAUCCAUCAAGUUGUUGUCAUGUAAUAUUGACACCUUUGUUGCCAUAAAAAGUUGAAAUUCUAGUCGAUGUUGCCGGUUUGUGCUAUAGAUCGGCACUAAUGGUGGUUAGGUAUGCUUGUGAAGGUUGAAGAUUUUCUCAACAAGCUGUUUGUUAAAAAUGAAUUAUAUCUACAUUUGGAAGAAGAUGAACAAUGAAUUUAUGAUUUUGAUUUGGGGAUUAGUGCAUUUGAUCCAUUAGAUGGCUAAAAUGAAUGAUGUGUUUGGGUUAUGUUUUAUUAAUUUGUUUGUUAUAAAAAAUGUGAUUUAAGUGUAUAUCUGAUUUUUAUUUUUGAUUGAAUAAAGUGAAAAAUAUUUAUAUUUUUAU
RNAcentral lists this long non-coding RNA (836 nucleotides) under Panax ginseng (ginseng). Its description in RNAcentral is "long non-coding RNA (PGIN_LNC004056)". The record is from RNAcentral. Lineage: Eukaryota; Viridiplantae; Streptophyta; Magnoliopsida; Apiales; Araliaceae.